This 1554-nucleotide ribosomal RNA is filed under the name Salmonella enterica subsp. enterica serovar Agona. Its description in RNAcentral is "bacterial SSU rRNA". It matches the Rfam family "Bacterial small subunit ribosomal RNA". The record is from RNAcentral. Lineage: Bacteria; Pseudomonadati; Pseudomonadota; Gammaproteobacteria; Enterobacterales; Enterobacteriaceae.
AAAUUGAAGAGUUUGAUCAUGGCUCAGAUUGAACGCUGGCGGCAGGCCUAACACAUGCAAGUCGAACGGUAACAGGAAGCAGCUUGCUGCUUCGCUGACGAGUGGCGGACGGGUGAGUAAUGUCUGGGAAACUGCCUGAUGGAGGGGGAUAACUACUGGAAACGGUGGCUAAUACCGCAUAACGUCGCAAGACCAAAGAGGGGGACCUUCGGGCCUCUUGCCAUCAGAUGUGCCCAGAUGGGAUUAGCUUGUUGGUGAGGUAACGGCUCACCAAGGCGACGAUCCCUAGCUGGUCUGAGAGGAUGACCAGCCACACUGGAACUGAGACACGGUCCAGACUCCUACGGGAGGCAGCAGUGGGGAAUAUUGCACAAUGGGCGCAAGCCUGAUGCAGCCAUGCCGCGUGUAUGAAGAAGGCCUUCGGGUUGUAAAGUACUUUCAGCGGGGAGGAAGGUGUUGUGGUUAAUAACCGCAGCAAUUGACGUUACCCGCAGAAGAAGCACCGGCUAACUCCGUGCCAGCAGCCGCGGUAAUACGGAGGGUGCAAGCGUUAAUCGGAAUUACUGGGCGUAAAGCGCACGCAGGCGGUCUGUCAAGUCGGAUGUGAAAUCCCCGGGCUCAACCUGGGAACUGCAUUCGAAACUGGCAGGCUUGAGUCUUGUAGAGGGGGGUAGAAUUCCAGGUGUAGCGGUGAAAUGCGUAGAGAUCUGGAGGAAUACCGGUGGCGAAGGCGGCCCCCUGGACAAAGACUGACGCUCAGGUGCGAAAGCGUGGGGAGCAAACAGGAUUAGAUACCCUGGUAGUCCACGCCGUAAACGAUGUCUACUUGGAGGUUGUGCCCUUGAGGCGUGGCUUCCGGAGCUAACGCGUUAAGUAGACCGCCUGGGGAGUACGGCCGCAAGGUUAAAACUCAAAUGAAUUGACGGGGGCCCGCACAAGCGGUGGAGCAUGUGGUUUAAUUCGAUGCAACGCGAAGAACCUUACCUGGUCUUGACAUCCACGGAAGUUUUCAGAGAUGAGAAUGUGCCUUCGGGAACCGUGAGACAGGUGCUGCAUGGCUGUCGUCAGCUCGUGUUGUGAAAUGUUGGGUUAAGUCCCGCAACGAGCGCAACCCUUAUCCUUUGUUGCCAGCGAUUCGGUCGGGAACUCAAAGGAGACUGCCAGUGAUAAACUGGAGGAAGGUGGGGAUGACGUCAAGUCAUCAUGGCCCUUACGACCAGGGCUACACACGUGCUACAAUGGCGCAUACAAAGAGAAGCGACCUCGCGAGAGCAAGCGGACCUCAUAAAGUGCGUCGUAGUCCGGAUUGGAGUCUGCAACUCGACUCCAUGAAGUCGGAAUCGCUAGUAAUCGUGGAUCAGAAUGCCACGGUGAAUACGUUCCCGGGCCUUGUACACACCGCCCGUCACACCAUGGGAGUGGGUUGCAAAAGAAGUAGGUAGCUUAACCUUCGGGAGGGCGCUUACCACUUUGUGAUUCAUGACUGGGGUGAAGUCGUAACAAGGUAACCGUAGGGGAACCUGCGGUUGGAUCACCUCCUUACCUGAAAGAAGC